GCGGGGCCUGGCACCCUGUUCGUCCCUAACCGGAGCCGGACACCGCCGCAGGCAUGCACGCAUGCCGAGGCCGAGCCCGACUCGAGCUCGCGCUCCUGGUCCACCUCGUGCGCGUCCGACCCGCCGUACGCGGGCCAAACUCCACGAGGAACCCCACACCCCUGAUCUCGAUUCCUUCCGUAGCCGCACGCUCUGGAUAGGGCGAAACGGAUCUCGCCUAGAGCUCCGCCGUUCGCCGGAGAUUUUCGCCACCAAACCGAGCAGGGAGAGAGGAACGAGCUCGACCACCGUUUGCCGGAGCACUCCGGAGUUCGCGACGCCGCCGUCAGUAGAGGAUGCCCCCGUCGCCGUACUCACGACCACCGCCUCCGCCGCUCAACGCCGCACCCACCCAUCACUUCACCCUCGCCGGAGAGUCGCCGGAGCAGCGCCACCGCAGCCGCCGACUGCCGCCGCCGUUUUCCUCCGUACACGAUUGUCUGGAGUGCGACGUAAACCUUUGUCAGGAGUGUAACUUUCUGAACCAGAACCAAGGAUAUUCAGACGAAUAGUAAGGUACCGUUAGGGUCGUGCGUCUGCACUCAGCAUCGCCAGUGGGCUAUGAUGGGACUCAUCAUUAUUUUUUGCUACUUUCCGUUGUUUGAUUGAAUAAAGCUAGCCAUGUGAUAUGCAUAUUGUUUUAUUUUAUAUAUUCUGGAU
Molecule: ribosomal RNA, 699 nt
Filed under: Triticum aestivum (bread wheat)
Lineage: Eukaryota; Viridiplantae; Streptophyta; Magnoliopsida; Poales; Poaceae
Description: partial small subunit ribosomal RNA
Source: RNAcentral